UACGUAGGUGGCAAGCGUUGUCCGGAAUUAUUGGGCGUAAAGCGCGCGCAGGCGGCCUUUUAAGUCUGACGUGAAAGCCCACGGCUCAACCGUGGAAGGUCAUUGGAAACUGAGAGGCUUGAGUACAGAAGAGGAAAGCGGAAUUCCACGUGUAGCGGUGAAAUGCGUAGAGAUGUGGAGGAACACCAGUGGCGAAGGCGGCUUUCUGGUCUGUAACUGACGCUGAGGCGCGAAAGCGUGGGGAGCAAACAGG
Molecule: ribosomal RNA, 253 nt
Filed under: uncultured bacterium
Lineage: Bacteria
Description: partial 16S ribosomal RNA
Rfam family: Bacterial small subunit ribosomal RNA
Source: RNAcentral